ACAGGUUUACCUGCAACUCUGAUUCUAGAAAGGCAAGAGCAACAGUUGGAAUGAUUCCUCAAAUCCCUCCACCAUCGAUAGAGAGAAUUGUGAUUAGGUUGCCAUAAGUUGGUGGGUGUCUGCACAAAAUAUGUUUUCCCGUCUCCAUAUUUGUGCUCUCUUCAAGGAAAGGUUGCAAAGAUUUGCAGUUCUACGAGGACGGCGAUUUGAGUCCUCAAAUUAAAUCCUGACAGUUUGAACUUCAAACAAACCAAACAACCAAAUUGCAAGCUUAUUUCAUCUAAUACGAUAUAUGGAACAUGGACUUGUAAUCUAUUAUAUUUCUCACCAGGUGACUGUUGCCAUGGAAAUAUGCCAACAUCACAAGAUACGAAAAUCAAUUAUGUACAUAACUACAGGUUUACCUGCAACUCUGAUUCUAGAAAGGCAAGAGCAACACCUGAAAUGAUUCCUCGAAUCCCUCCACCAUCGAUAGAGAGAAUUGUGAUUAGGUUGCCAUAAGUUGGUGGGUGUCUGCACAAAAUAUGUUUUCUAGUCUCCAUAUUUGUGCUCUCUUCAAGGAUAGGUUGCAAAGAUUUGCAGUUCUCCGAGGACGGCGAUUUGAGUCCUCAAAUUAAUGUACAGAACACAUAUUAAUACACUUCGGAUGAGUACUUUCGUGGCAAUGCAGGUAGUGAAGGUCUAUAGCAUUCAGGAAAAAGUCAUUACGAA
RNAcentral lists this long non-coding RNA (711 nucleotides) under Hordeum vulgare. RNAcentral's name for it is "long non-coding RNA (HVUL_LNC008885)". Lineage: Eukaryota; Viridiplantae; Streptophyta; Magnoliopsida; Poales; Poaceae. The record is from RNAcentral.